Molecule: long non-coding RNA, 3477 nt
Filed under: Sus scrofa (pig)
Lineage: Eukaryota; Metazoa; Chordata; Mammalia; Artiodactyla; Suidae
Description: lncRNA (ENSSSCG00050061178.1)
Source: RNAcentral
CAACAGUGUAAGAGGGUUCCCUUUUCUCUGACCCCUUUCCAGCAUUUAUUAGUUGUAGUCUUUUUGAUGAUGGCCAUUCUGGCUGGUGUAAGGUGGUACUCAUAGUAGUUUUGAUUCACAUUUCUCUAAUUUGUGAUGUUGAGCAUCUUUUGAUGUGUUUUUUGGCCAUCUUUCCGUCUUUGGAUAAAAGGCCUUUUAGAAUAUGUGGCACAUAUAUGCAGUGGAAUAUUACUCACCCACAAAAAGAAUGAAAUAAUGCCAUUUGAAGCAACAUGGAUGGACCUAGAGGUUAUCAAACUAGUCAGACAGUGAAAGACAUCGUAUGAUGUCACUUAUGUGCAGAAUCUAAAAAAGGAUAUAAAUUAACUUAUUUGCAGAACAGAAACAGACUCACAGACUUUGAAAAACUAACGGUUACCAAAGGGGACAGGUUGGGCGGGUAUGCUUGGGGUUCAGGAUUGCCAUAUGCAUACUGAGGUAUAUGCAAUGAUUGGCCAGCAGGGACCUGCUAUAUGGCACAGAGAACUCUAUGCAAUAUUCUGUGAUACUCUAUAUGGGAAGAUAAUCUGAAAGAGUAUGGAUGUGUGUACAUGUAUGACUGAAUCACUUUGUUGUACAGCAGAAAUUAUCACAUUUUAAAUCAACUAUACUUCAAUAAAGCUUUAAAAAUGAAAAAAAAAGCAAACAUAGAAACUGGGCUAAAGACGUAAACUUGCAUUUGUUUUAGAAGACAUAAGUAUCUAGGUGUGUCUGUGUUAGAAGGUUGGGGGUAACUGAGGGCAGUUAUUGACUCUUUAAUUUCAAGUAUAUAUAACACUUAAAAAUGCAUGAUGUUUUUGGAGGCAAUGCUAUCUGUAUCAAGGUUGACUUUUGAAAUUUUGGUAUUUUUUUUCUUUUUAGGGCCACACCUGCAGCGUAUGAAAAUUCCCAGGUUAGGGGUCAAAUUGGAGCCAUAGCUGCUGGCCUUCACCACAGCCACAGCAACAAUGAAUCUGAGCCUCGUCUGUGACCUACACUACAGCUUUUGGCGAUGCCAGAACCUUAACCCACUGAGUGAGGCCAGGGAUUAAACCCGAAUUCUCAUGGAUACCAGCCGGGCUCUUAACCUGCUGAACCACAACAGGAACUCCCAGACAUACUUUUUUUUAAAAAAAUGAAGAUAGGAUGUAUCACUUAAGUUCCUGCAUAGUGUAAUUCUUCAGCUCUUCUAGAGGACUAUAUUAAUUACAGAUUAUUUGGUUGAUUAUGUUAACUUAUUUUUCAGCAUAACUUUUGCUUAAAUAGAAUCAUCUUCAUUACAUCUGGGAUCAUUUAAAUAGCAUAAUUACGUGUAAGGGAAAAAGGGUUGCUAUGUGAUUAUAUGAAAUCAUGUGUAUGAAACUUUUGAAAAUUGUAAAACACUCUGGAAUUUAAAGACUUUUCAUUCAAUAAAAUAAGUUAAAAAAAGAAGUCAUUGCUAAUCAACAAUCCUAAAGGGCAUAUAAAUGUCUUGGUUUUGAUAUUUGAUAUUAAGAAAUUGUUAUUCAUUAGUUAUAUACUCUUAAAAAUAUAAGUACUCUGACAACUUUUAAAUUAAGGUAUAAUCUAUCAGUUCUCUAUGGAUUUCAUUUUUUCUUUCUAAAUGAAAAAAUUUUUAAACUCUCUUUUAGAAAAAAUUAUUUUUGAGCCCUAAGAAACUGAUAUUUACAUUGCAAUGUAUACAUCCUAUCUUUAACUUUUUAUCAAGUAAGCAGUCUCAACCAGCUGAAUGAUUGCAUCAGGCCUAAGUAAUUAAGCAUAUCAGAAAACAUGCAAUUAAUAAUGAACAGAUUGUUAGACACUUCCUUCUAGCGGUACAGUCGUUUAAAAAAGAAAACAUUCUAAACGUUUUUUUCAUUUAAAAUGUAUUUUACCUGCCAAAAAAUACAAAUGUGGUUUUCUUAACCUUGAACACUGAUAUAUGCAUGUGCAGUUGGGAAGCAUUCCUCUUUUUUUGCCAGCUAAUUAGCUUUUGGCGUAAGUGUAAUUGUUCUCCAACUACCUGACUCCUUCUAGUAUCCCUUGUGCUGAGGGUAUCUUUCCUUUAUAGGAUAUUUUGUAAAAUUUCAAGAAGAAAGUUCUGAGAAGUUCCUAGGAGAGAAGGAAAAGCAGAUAAAGGAGAGAAUAACACUACCCAUAUUUGGGAAUUUGGGGGAGGGAGGUAAAAGAGAAACUAGAGAGUAAGAGAAGAUUUAGGAGAACCUGUUGUUUCAGGCAAGUGAGAAAAGUUUUAAGUGAGAAGAGUUUUAAGAAGGAGGUGAUUGAUGACUUUUUACCAGUGUUUGUCUUUUUUGCCUUUAGUUUGGGUAAUAUGAAGAGGUUAUCAAAUUGGAGGUCAUGGUUAACUUUUCAGCAGUGUGAUUUAGUUGAGUGGUAGGACAGAAACUGAUUCCUGAGAGAUCAAAGAAUGAAGGGAGAAAGGGAAAUAGAAGCAGCAUCAGUAGAAUUUAUUUUAGGUAUUUGACAACCAAGAAGAGGAGAGAAGUUGGGGAAAUAGUUUAAAAGCAUCAGGGUUGAGGAAAGAUUUUAAUAGGAUAAGGGUGCGUAAUCUGAUUUUAGAAUGCGUUGAAGGAUUCAGGGAGAAGAUUAAAGAUAUAAGGAGUGGGACCAAGAUGACAAACAAUGGAAUAACGUCCUGGUCAAAGAAGAAGGGAAUAUGAGUGAGGGUGAAAAUGCGGUCAUUAGCCAUGGGGAAAAUGGAGAGUAUAUUCUGUUCAUAAUAUGCUUAUACUUUGAACAUCAAGUGCUGUAUUUUAAGAGCCCAUCACUCACCACUGCAGAAGCAAUAUAAAGCAUUCUCUAUGGUUGCCAGGCUUAGACAGGGCCGGCAGGUUGAAGGGCAGUGAUACUUUCGCUAGGCAGUGCUUGGUUUAGGAGUGCUGGUUGGCUGUAGCGGUGGGUGGUUCAGUUGCUUACAAAGUAUUCGGUACCUCUUAUCGACUGACUAUAUUCUGACCUGCUCUAAAAAUAAAGAGUGAAACUAAUUACUGAAAGACUUCACCCAACUUUUAAAAAAUGGUUGUCCGAAAAUGUACAUACCAUAAAAUUUACCAUUUUAACCAUUUUAAGUAUACAGUUCAAUGACAUGUGUAGUAUUUAUUGAAAAAAAAAUCUGAGUAUUAAGUGGACCUACACAGUUUAAGGCCCUGUUGUUCAAAGUUCAGCUGUACUUUUACAUUGUUGUACAGCCAUCACCCCCACCCCCUCAGAACUUUAUUUAAAAGUUUUUUUCAGAGUUCCGCUCAUGGUUUAGUGGGUUAAGAACCAGACUAGUAUCCAUGAAGAUGUGGGUUUGAUUCCUGGCCUUCCUGGCCUCACUCAGUGGGUUAAGGAUCUGCCGUUAUGAGCUGUGGUGUGGGUAGCAGACAUGGCUUGGAUCUGGCAUGGCUGUGGCUGUGGCUGUGGCUGGCAGCUGCAUCUCUGAUUCAACCCUUAGCCUGGGAACUUCUAUAUGUCACA